CUUUUGCCAACAUUACGGCUCCAGUCCCUAAGUUGAGCCUUUUAGACAUAGGUCCUCCAUUCCCUAGUCGUCUUUUGUCAACAUUAGGGCUCCAAUCCCUGAGUUGAGCCUUAUUAGAUAUAGGGCCUCCAUUCCCUAGUAGCCUUUUGCCAACAUUAGGGCUCUAAUCCCUGAGUUAAGCCUUUUUAGACAUAGGGCCUCCAUUCCCUAGUCACCUUUUGCCAACAUUAGGGCUUCAAUCCCUGAGUUGAGCUUUUUAGACAUAGGACCUCCAUUCCCUAGUAGCCUUUUGCCAACAUUAGGGCUCCAAUCCCAAAGUCGAGCCUUUUUAGACAUAGGGCCUCCAUUCCCUAGUUGCCUUUUGCCAACAUUACGGCUCCAGUCCCUGAAUUAAGACUUUUAGACAUAGGGCCUCCAUUCCCUAGUCGCCUUUUGGCAACAUUAGGUCUCCAAUCCCUGAGUUGAGCCUUUUUAGACAUAGGUCCUCCAUUCCCUAGUCUCCUUUUCUGCCAAUAUUAGGGCUCCAAUCCCAGAGUCGACCCUUUUUAGACAUAGGUCCUCCAUUCCCUAGUUGCCUUUUGCCAACACUACGGCUCCAGUCCCUGAGUUGAGCCUUUUAGACAUAGGGCCUCCAUUCCCUAGUCGCCUUUUCGCAACAUUAGGGCUCCAAUCCCUGAGUUGAGCCUUUUUAGACAUAGGGCCUCCAUUCCCUAGUCGCCCUUUGCUAAUAUUACGCUCCAAUCCCUGAGUUGAUUCUUUUAGACAUAGGGCCUCCAUUCCCUAGUCUCUUUUUGCCAACAUUAGGGCUCCAAUCCCUUAGUUGAGCCUUUUUAGACAUAGGGCCUCCAUUCCCUAGUCGCGUUUUGCCAACAUUAGGGCUCCAAUCCCAAAGUCGAGCCUUUUUAGACAUAGGGCCUCCAUUCCCUAGUAGCCUUUUGCCAACAUUAGGGCUCCAAUCCCUGAGUUGAGCCUUUUUAGACAUAGGUCCUCCAUUCCCUAGUCGCCUUUUCUGCCAAUAUUGGGGCUCCAAUCCCUGAGUUGAGCCUUUUAGACAUAGGGCCUCCAUUCCCUAGUCGCCUUUUACCAACAUUAGUGAUCCAAUCCCUGGGUUGAGCCUCAUUAGAUAUAGGGCCUCAAUUCCCUAGUCGCCUUUUGCCAACAUUAUGGCUCCAAUCCCUGAGUUGAGCCUUUUUAGACAUAGGGCCUCCAUUUCCUAGUUGCCUUUUGCCAACAUUAGGGCUCCAAUCCCUGAGUUGAGCCUUUUAGACAUAGGGCCUCCAUUCCCUAGUCGCUUUUUGCAAACAUUAGGGCUCCAAUCCCUGAGUUGAGCCUUUUUAUACAUAGAACCUCCAUUCCCUAGUCGCAUUUUGCCAACAUUAGGGCUCCAAUCCCUGAGUUGAGCCUUUUAGACAUAGGGCCUCCAUUCCCUAGUCGCCCUUUGCCAACAUUAGGGCUCCAAUCCUUGAGUUGAGCCUUUUUAGACAUAGGGCCUCCAUUCCCUAGUAGCCUUUUGCCAACAUUAGGGCUCCAAUCCCUGAGUUGAGCCUUUUUAGACAUAGGUCCUCCAUUCCCUAGUCGCCUUUUGCCAAUAUUAGGGCUCCAAUAACUGAGUUGAGCCUUUUUAGACAUAAGUCCUCCAUUCCCUAGUUGCCUUUUGCCAACAUUAUGGCUCCAAUCCCAGAGUCGAGCCUUUUUAGACAUAGGGCAUCCAUUCCCUAGUUGCCUUUUGGCAACAUUAGGGCUCCAAUCCCUGAGUUGAGCCUUUUUAGACAUAGGGCCUCAAUUCCCUAGUCGCCUUUUGCCAAUAUUAGGGCUCCAAUACCUGAGUUGAGCCUUUUAGACACGGGGCCUCCAUUUCCUAGUCAGCUUUUCUACCAAUUCUAGGGCUCCAAUCCCUGAGUUGAGCCUUUUAGACACGGGGCCUCCAUUCCCUAGUCGCCUUUUCUGCCAACAUUAGGGAUCCAAUCCCUGCGUUGAGCCUUUUAUUCAUGGGGCCUCUAUUACCUAGUCACCUUUUCUGCCAACAUUAGGGCUCCAAUCCCUGAGUUGAUGAUUUUAGACAUAGGGCCACCAUUCCCUAGUCGCCUUUUGCCAACAUUAGGGCUCCAAUCCCAAAGUUGAUCCUUUUUAGACAUAGGGCCUCCAUUCCCUAGUCACCUUUUGCCAACAUUAGGGCUUCAAUCCCUGAGUUGAGCUUUUUAGACAUACGACCUCCAUUCCCUAGUAUCCUUUUGCCAACAUUAAGGCUCCAAUACCAGAGUCGAGCCUUUUUAGAUAUAGGGCCUCCAUUCCCUAGUUGCCUUUUGCCUACAUUACGGCUCCAGUCCCUGAGUUGAGCCUUUUAGACAUAAGGCCUCCAUUCCCUAGUUGCCUUUUGGCAACAUUAGGACUCCAAUCUCUGAGUUGAGCCUUUUUAGACAUAGGUCCUCCAUUCCCUAGUCGCCUUUUCUGCUAAUAUUAGGGUUACAAUCCUUGAGUUGAGCCUUUUAGACAUAGGGCCUCCAUUCCCUAGUCUCCUUUUGCCAACAUUAAAGCUCCAAUCCCUGAGUUGAGCCUUUUAGACAUGGGGCCUCCAUUCCCUAGUCGCCUUUUCUACCAAUAUUAGGGCUCCAAUCCCUGGGUUGAGCCUUUUAGACAUAGGGCCUCUAUUCCCUAGUCACCUUUUGCAACCAUUAGGGCUCCAAUCUUUGAGUUGAGCCUUUUUAGACAUAUGGUCUCCAUUCCCUAGUCGCCCUUUGCUAAUAUUACGCUCCAAUCCCUGAGUUGAUUCUUUUAGACAUAGGGCCUCCAUUCCCAAGUCUUUUUUUGCCAACAUUAGGUUUCCAAUCCCUUAGUUGAGCCUUUUUAGAUAUAGGGCCUCCAUUCCCUAGUUGCCUUUUGCCAACAUUAGGGCUCCAAUAACUGAGUUAAG
Molecule: long non-coding RNA, 2911 nt
Filed under: Nicotiana tabacum (common tobacco)
Lineage: Eukaryota; Viridiplantae; Streptophyta; Magnoliopsida; Solanales; Solanaceae
Description: long non-coding RNA (NTAB_LNC015131)
Source: RNAcentral